GGGCUGCUGAGAUGGCGGCCGCCUCCCGAGGUGGAGAGAAGGCACGUUUCUGCUCCCAGAGGUGGGAAAUGUCGCUCAGGACGCAAUGCGGCGUUAUAUGAUAAACCACAUAUGAUACACCUGAUGGGAUUCAUCAGACUUACUUGAGCUUGUCCAAAAAUGAAACAUCUGGUUGAAGAUAUUUUUUCAGCUUAUUCAGGGCUGAAAUGAAUCAUUGUCAAGAGGUACAUGCACCUCCAGCAGGUGAUUCAUCCCUUGCCAGGGUACAUGAAAUGCUGACUGCUGACUAUGGCUAUGACACUCCAGCAGAAGUAUGCACUAUUCUCAUACCUAUAUAUAGAAGUCAAGGUUACAUGUCCAUCAGACUUGCAAACCUAUGUUUGGAUAGACCACAACUGAUGACACAUAAGAGGGAGAAAAGUCAAUGAAGAAUGAUAUAAACUGAGAAGUGCUCAGAGAUGUCAACAGGAAAAAUGUACCUUGAUUGAUGCAUUCCAUCUAUGUGGCCUCUGAAUACAUUAUAUACUUAUGGCUAUGCAAAGUUCUAUUAACAGUAAACACAAAUUAAAAAUCUUCCCCGUAUCUUCUGAGAUACUGCUACAUGAUAUCAUGGGCAAGUUAAUGGAGCUGUGCAACCUAUUCAUUUUCCCAUAAGCCAAGAUUUUCUGUUAAAGAGCCGCUGCUAGCAUGCUACGUCGAAUCAACCAUAACAUACCAUACUCUCUCACCAAUACUGUUUGGUGUAUCAGAUCUGAUGUAGCCUAGACAGGAAGUUCAUAUAAGAAUCAAUAAUACAGGACUACUUCUAAACUACUAGGCUAUCUGCUUUUACCAUUUCAGCCACAAAACCUAUUCUAAUUCUAAAAACAUACUUCAUUGUUUCCAAUGAAAACUGCCGUGAAAAUUCUGAUCCAUAUGAUAAAGCUUCAAUAUUUUGACUAUUUCAACUGACUCACAAUUAAAUGUCAAUGAAGUAACCGAU
Gallus gallus (chicken) is the source of this 982-nucleotide long non-coding RNA. RefSeq lists it as uncharacterized. The record is from RefSeq and is a predicted model, not a curated record. NCBI's taxonomy places the organism in Eukaryota, Metazoa, Chordata, Aves, Galliformes, Phasianidae. The transcript has 3 exons.